GAUGAACGCUGGCGGCGUGCCUAAUACAUGCAAGUCGAGCGAACAGACGAGGAGCUUGCUCCUCUGACGUUAGCGGCGGACGGGUGAGUAACACGUGGAUAACCUACCUAUAAGACUGGGAUAACUUCGGGAAACCGGAGCUAAUACCGGAUAAUAUAUUGAACCGCAUGGUUCAAUAGUGAAAGACGGUUUUGCUGUCACUUAUAGAUGGAUCCGCGCCGCAUUAGCUAGUUGGUAAGGUAACGGCUUACCAAGGCAACGAUGCGUAGCCGACCUGAGAGGGUGAUCGGCCACACUGGAACUGAGACACGGUCCAGGCUCCUACGGGAGGCAGCAGUAGGGAAUCUUCCGCAAAGGGCGAAAGCCUGACGGAGCAACGCCGCGUGAGUGAUGAAGGUCUUCGGAUCGUAAAACUCUGUUAUUAGGGAAGAACAAAUGUGUAAGUAACUAUGCACGUCUUGACGGUACCUAAUCAGAAAGCCACGGCUAACUACGUG
This 497-nucleotide ribosomal RNA is filed under the name uncultured bacterium. RNAcentral's name for it is "partial 16S ribosomal RNA". It matches the Rfam family "Bacterial small subunit ribosomal RNA", at positions 28 to 507 of the family's 1533-position model. The record is from RNAcentral.